AGACCAGACUCCUACGGGAGGCAGCAGUGAGGAAUAUUGGUCAAUGGGCGCGAGCCUGAACCAGCCAAGUAGCGUGAAGGAUGACUGCCCUACGGGCUGAAAACUUCUUUUAUAAAGGAAUAAAGUGAGGCACGUGUGCCUUUUUGUAUGUACUUUAUGAAUAAGGAUCGGCUAAUUCCGUGCCAGCAGCCGCGGUAAUACGGAGGAUCCGAGCGUUUUCCGGAUUUAUUGGGUUUAAAGGGAGCGUAGAGGGGUUUUUAAGUCAGUUGUGAAAGUUUGCGGCUCAACCGUAAAAUUGCAAUUGAUACUGGCAGUCUUGAGUACAGUUGAGGUAAGCGGAAUUCGUGGUGUAGCGGUGAAAUGCUUAGAUAUCACGAAGAACUCCGAUUGCGAAGGCAGCUUACUAAACUUCCACUGACAUUGAAGCUCGAAAGUGUGGGUAUCAAACAGGAUUAGAUACCCUCGUAA
Molecule: ribosomal RNA, 468 nt
Filed under: uncultured bacterium
Lineage: Bacteria
Description: bacterial SSU rRNA
Rfam family: Bacterial small subunit ribosomal RNA
Source: RNAcentral